Molecule: transfer RNA, 70 nt
Filed under: Gammaproteobacteria bacterium
Lineage: Bacteria; Pseudomonadati; Pseudomonadota; Gammaproteobacteria
Description: tRNA-Ile
Rfam family: tRNA
About the family: Transfer RNA (tRNA) molecules are approximately 80 nucleotides in length. Their secondary structure includes four short double-helical elements and three loops (D, anti-codon, and T loops).
Source: RNAcentral
CGAGAUAGCUCAGCUAGGUAGAGCAACCGACUCAUAAUCGGUCCGUCGCAGGUUCAACUCCUGCUCUCAA